Long non-coding RNA from Sphaerodactylus townsendi, 317 nucleotides. RefSeq lists it as uncharacterized. The record is from RefSeq and is a predicted model, not a curated record. The transcript is spliced from 3 exons. Lineage: Eukaryota; Metazoa; Chordata; Lepidosauria; Squamata; Sphaerodactylidae.
UGGAAACUCAAAGAGGUAGAUGAAGAAGCAAAAACCGUAACCAGCACAGAGAGCCUACACUUCAGGUUCCUAUGACGACUUUUCCUUUGCUGGACACAAGUGUGUUGUCCUGCCCAUGGAGUCCAUCAACUGCCAUUACAAAGCAGAAGUCCUGUUGACUGUAAGCCCCCAACUUUGAGUACAUAAAGAACAGAACACAAAGUGCAUGUUGAAAAUCCAUGACUGGGUUAUAUGAACACUGAACAUUCUUCACAGCAUAAACUGCGUUGGUAUUUUCUCUGUGAGAAGGGGAGCCUGCUUCCAGUUUGCUACAUGGC